UGAAAGUAAGUAAAAAAAAAUGUAAAAAUGAGUGUUAAGGAGAGUUAGGAAAAGUAGGAAAAAUUAUAGUAAGGAAAUAGGAAUAAAAUAAAAUAAAUGAAAGUAAGUAAAAAAAAUGUAAAAAUGAGUGUUAAGGAGAGUUAGGAAAAGUAGGAAAAAUUAUAGUAAGGAAAUAGGAAGAAAAAAAAUGAAAGUAAGUCUAAAAAAGAUGUUAAAAUGAGUGUUAAGGCGAGUUAGGGAAAGUAGGAAAAUAUAUAGUAAGGAAAUAGAAAGAAGAGAAAAUAAAAGGAAAGGAAAAGUCUUGGGUUAGGAAAAGAUAAAAGGAAAAAUUGUCUUGGGAUAGAGAAGUAAAAAAAAGAAUAAAGUAAAAAGUGUUGGGUUAGGAAAAGAUAAAAGGAAAAACUGUCUUGGGAUAGAAAAGUAAAAAAAUAUAUAAAGUAAAAAAUCUUGGGUUAGGAAAAUAUAACAGCAAAAAUAUGUCGAGAUGGAAAAAGUAAAAAGUAAAGUAAAAAAAAAGUCUCGGGUUAGAACAUAAGAUCCUAAGGAGUCUGCAAGAGGCCGGGUGGUUCUAUGUAAGGCAGCUCCUGUGAACCUAACCCCACCUGACCUCACUAUCCAUGA
This is a long non-coding RNA of Eriocheir sinensis (Chinese mitten crab), 621 nucleotides long. RefSeq lists it as uncharacterized. The record is from RefSeq and is a predicted model, not a curated record. NCBI's taxonomy places the organism in Eukaryota, Metazoa, Arthropoda, Malacostraca, Decapoda, Varunidae. The transcript is spliced from 2 exons.